UAGUCCACGCCGUAAACGAUGGUUACUAGCUGUUCGGAUUUCGAUCUGAGUGGCUAAGCGAAAGUGAUAAGUAACCCACCUGGGGAGUACGUUCGCAAGAAUGAAACUCAAAGGAAUUGACGGGGGCCCGCACAAGCGGUGGAGCAUGUGGUUUAAUUCGAUGAUACGCGAGGAACCUUACCAGGGCUUGAAUGCAUAUCGCUAUACCAAGAGAUUGGUAGUUUCGUAAGAACGAUAUACAAGGUGCUGCAUGGCUGUCGUCAGCUCGCGCCGUGAGGUGUUUGGUUAAGUCCUGUAACGAGCGCAACCCCUAUGCUUAGUUGCCAGCACGUAAUGGUGGGAACUCUAAGCAGACUGCCUGCGAAAGCAGUGAGGAAGGUGGGGAUGAGGUCAAGUCAUCAUGGCCCUUAUGGGUAGGGCUACACACGUGCUACAAUGGGCAGUACAGAGGGUUGCGAAGCCGCGAGGUGGAGCUAAUCUCAGAAAACUGUUCGU
Molecule: ribosomal RNA, 495 nt
Filed under: uncultured bacterium
Lineage: Bacteria
Description: bacterial SSU rRNA
Rfam family: Bacterial small subunit ribosomal RNA
Source: RNAcentral